GUAACGGGGUGUUAGGGCACGACACCGGAGAGGGAGCCUGAGAAACGGCUACCACAUCCAAGGAUGGCAGCAGGCGCGCAAAUUACCCAAUCCCGACACGGGGAGGUAGUGACAAUAAAUAACAAUACGGGGUCCUUUAGGGUUUCGUAAUUGGAAUGAGUACAAUUUAAAUCUCUUAACGAGGAACAAUUGGAGGGCAAGUCUGGUGCCAGCAGCCGCGGUAAUUCCAGCUCCAAUAGCGUAUAUUAAAGUUGUUGCAGUUAAAAAGCUCGUAGUUGAAUUUCGGGAUUAGUACGUUGGUCGUGCCUUAGGUACGUACUGGUGUUACUGGUUCCUACCUUCUGACGAACCAUCAUGUCAUUAAUUUGGUGUGGCGGGGAAUCAGGACUGUUACUUUGAAAAAAUUAGAGUGUUUAAAGCAGGCUCGCGCUUGAAUACAUUAGCAUGGAAUAAUGAAAUAGGACGUUGACCCUAUUUUGUUGGUUUCUAGGAUUGACGUAAUGAUUAAUAGGGAUAGUUGGGGGCAUUAGUAUUCAAUUGUCAGAGGUGAGAUUCUUGGAUUUAUUGAAGACUAACUACUGCGAAAGCAUUUGCCAAGGAUGUUUUCAUUAAUCAAGAACGAAAGUUAGGGGAUCGAAGACGAUCAGAUACC
RNAcentral lists this ribosomal RNA (652 nucleotides) under Glomeromycotina sp. AB-2014. RNAcentral describes it as "SSU rRNA". It matches the Rfam family "Eukaryotic small subunit ribosomal RNA", at positions 359 to 1016 of the family's 1831-position model. The record is from RNAcentral. Lineage: Eukaryota; Fungi; Glomeromycota.